RNAcentral lists this ribosomal RNA (460 nucleotides) under uncultured bacterium. Its description in RNAcentral is "partial 16S ribosomal RNA". It matches the Rfam family "Bacterial small subunit ribosomal RNA", at positions 338 to 795 of the family's 1533-position model. The record is from RNAcentral.
CCUACGGGAGGCAGCAGUGAGGAAUAUUGGUCAAUGGACGAGAGUCUGAACCAGCCAAGUAGCGUGAAGGAUGACUGCCCUAUGGGUUGUAAACUUCUUUUAUAUGGGAAUAAAAUGUUCCACGUGUGGGAGUUUGUAUGUACCAUAUGAAUAAGGAUCGGCUAACUCCGUGCCAGCAGCCGCGGUAAUACGGAGGAUCCGAGCGUUAUCCGGAUUUAUUGGGUUUAAAGGGAGCGUAGGUGGAUUGUUAAGUCAGUUGUGAAAGUUUGCGACUCAACCGUAAAAUUGCAGUUGAAACUGGCAGUCUUGAGUACAGUAGAGGUGGGCGGAAUUCGUGGUGUAGCGGUGAAAUGCUUAGAUAUCACGAAGAACUCCGAUUGCGAAGGCAGCUCACUGGACUACAACUGACACUGAGGCUCGAAAGUGUGGGUAUCAAACAGGAUUAGAUACCCCAGUAGUC